AUUGAACGCUGGCGGCAUGCUUUACACAUGCAAGUCGAACGGUAACAGGCCGCAAGGUGCUGACGAGUGGCGAACGGGUGAGUAAUGCAUCGGAACGUGCCCAGUCGAGGGGGAUAACUACUCGAAAGAGUAGCUCAUACCGCAUACGAUCUAUGGAUGAAAGCGGGGGACCGUAAGGCCUCGCGCGAUUGGAGCGGCCGAUGUCAGAUUAGGUAGUUGGUGGGGUAAAGGCUCACCAAGCCAACGAUCUGUAGCUGGUCUGAGAGGACGACCAGCCACACUGGAACUGAGACACGGCCCAGACUCCUACGGGAGGCAGCAGUGGGGAAUUUUGGACAAUGGGCGCAAGCCUGAUCCAGCAAUGCCGCGUGCAUGAAGAAGGCCUUCGGGUUGUAAACUGCUUUUGUACGGAACGAAACGGCGCUGGUUAAUACCCGGGGCUAAUGACGGUACCGUAAGAAUAAGCACCGGCUAACUACGUG
RNAcentral lists this ribosomal RNA (482 nucleotides) under uncultured bacterium. RNAcentral describes it as "partial 16S ribosomal RNA". It matches the Rfam family "Bacterial small subunit ribosomal RNA", at positions 30 to 507 of the family's 1533-position model. The record is from RNAcentral.